This 1497-nucleotide ribosomal RNA is filed under the name Triticum aestivum (bread wheat). Its description in RNAcentral is "partial small subunit ribosomal RNA". Lineage: Eukaryota; Viridiplantae; Streptophyta; Magnoliopsida; Poales; Poaceae. The record is from RNAcentral.
AUGUACGGAAAGGCAGCCGAAUUCUGGGCGGACUUGCGCCUUGAGCUCCUAUCAGCAGGUGAAAUCUCUGGAGAAGAGAAAGGUGUUUCAAAUCAAAUAUGGCGGCUAUAUUGGUCCAGUCAUCAGCGUUUCUUCAGGCAUAUGUGCAUGUCUGCGAAGGUCCCUGCUGUUGUGAAGUUGGCUAAGGAGGCUUUGGCUGAGAACAAAUGUGUGGUGAUUGGUCUUCAGAGUACUGGAGAGGCUCGAACAGAGGAAGCUGUCACAAAAUAUGGUGUUGAAAUGGAAGACUUUGUUUCUGGUCCCCGGGAGCUUCUUCUGAAGCUGGUGGAAGAAAAUUACCCUUUACCUCCAAAACCUGAUACUUUUCAGCAAGGUGAAGAAAAAGUCACGGAGAUCCAGCGUAAGCGGCAUUCUCCACAAGAUGUAUCUUUUAAAGGGCGAGUUAGGAAAGUAGCAAAAAUGGAAGAUGUGAGCGAUGAUGAUAGUGGUGACUAUUCUCCAUCUGAGUCAUCAGACCAUGAAUCAUCAGAAUCGGAUGAGGAGUUCCACAUGUGUCAAAUCUGCAACUCAGAGGAGGAGAAGAGUCUAUUGCUCAAUUGCUCUGGUUGUUCUCUACGUGUUCAUCCUAGCUGUCUGACACCACCUUGGACUGGUAUGUUGACUGAUGAUUGGUCAUGCUACUCAUGUAAGAAGAUAGAAGGCCAGGAAAUGGAGCAUGAUGCUAAUGUAGCUGAUUUUUCAAAGAGGUAUGACUCCGCAGUAGAGAGAAAGUUGAAGAUUUUGGAUGUCAUACGUUCCUUGGAUCUCCCUAAUAAUCCUCUGGAUGAUAUCAUUGAUCAGCUAGGGGGGCCUGACAAGGUCGCAGAAAUAACUGGACGACGUGGUAUGCUAAUAAGAGCUUCAGAUGGAAAAGGCGUUAUUUAUCAGGCGCGGAACGCGAAAGAAGUCUCAAUGGAGAUGAUCAAUAUGCAUGAAAAGCAGCAGUUCAUGGAUGACAAAAAACUAAUUGCAAUUAUAUCUGAAGCGGGAUCAGCUGGUGUUUCCCUACAUGCUGACAGAAGGGCAAAAAACCAGAGAAGGAGAGUACAUGUAACACUAGAACUCCCCUGGAGUGCAGACCGUGCAAUACAGCAGUUUGGGAGAACACAUCGCUCUAAUCAAACAUCUGCACCACAAUAUAGGCUUCUUUUUACAAAUCUUGGUGGUGAAAAGCGAUUUGCAUCAAUUGUGGCAAAAAGACUCGAGUCUCUUGGAGCUUUAACACAAGGCGAUCGCAGGGCUGGACCUUCUCUAAGUGCUUUCAACUACGAUAGCACUUAUGGGAAAAAGGCGCUAACCAUGGUGUAUAGGGGAAUAAUGGAGCAGGAUUCUUUUCCAGUUGUUCCUCCGAGGUGUUCUGACAACCAGGCCAGCAUCGAAGAAUUCAUUACUGAGGCAAAGGUUGCUCUAGUAUCAGUUGGAAUUAUAAGGGAUGCCACAGUAUGUAAGUUUAUCUAA